GUGAAGAUCUAUUACGAUUUGGAUUCUCUAGAAAACUUCCUCGGGAUUAUUUUGUUGAAGUUCCGAACGAUGAGUUAAUUUACGCAGCAAACGUCGUAGACGAAAUCACAAAAUACUUUAAACAUUAUUUAACCGAAUAUAGUAUGGUGGAUAUUUGGAAAAUUUGAUCGCUUAGAAUUGUGCUCCGGCGAUUCCUUAUAAUAAUGUUUGAAUAAUGAAGAAUGUGUUGUCCCAGGUGAUGAUAUUGGCAUCAUAAUAGAUCUUACAAUGGACGAUGACGUAAUUACCAUUAUGAUGGACUAAUUUUGUGUUUUACACAUUACAAUACUUUACAAUAAACCCAAUUAUUUCUGCCGACACAUAAAUUGUCACUAUAAGAUAAUAUAUAGUACCUUAUUUAUAUAUAUAACUGCAGUGUGAUAUAUCCCUGGCAAGUUCAAUAAAUUAUAAAUGUACACAUAUAUAGAAAGUAAAAAUUCAAUAAAUAUACCUAGAUUAAGUUUAAGCCGCCAAUUUGCUGUUAAUUAAACUAUUUAUUUUUUCCUUCACAAAAUGCCCUUGCAUCAAUCUAAUUUUUUCAUUUUUACAAUAUAUAUUCUAUAAAUUAUAAUAUUUUUUACAAAUGUAUAUACUAUAUUUUAACGUUAUAAACACAAAUCUUUACUUUAUUUUUUUUAUUAUCUAAUAUAACUUAGUCGGCUUAGUCUACUAUAAAUCAAAAGCAUAUAGAACAAUAUGCCAUUCUGACAACUUCC
This is a long non-coding RNA of Rhopalosiphum padi (bird cherry-oat aphid), 755 nucleotides long. RefSeq lists it as uncharacterized. The transcript has 3 exons. NCBI's taxonomy places the organism in Eukaryota, Metazoa, Arthropoda, Insecta, Hemiptera, Aphididae. The record is from RefSeq and is a predicted model, not a curated record.